GUGACUGCGUACCUUUUGUAUAAUGGGUCAGCGACUUAUAUUCUGUAGCAAGGUUAACCGAAUAGGGGAGCCGGAGGGAAACCGAGUCUUAAUUGGGCGUUAAGUUGCAGGGUAUAGACCCGAAACCCGGUGAUCUAGCCAUGGGCAGGUUGAAGGUUGGGUAACACUAACUGGAGGACCGAACCGACUAAUGUUGAAAAAUUAGCGGAUGACCUGUGGCUGGGGGUGAAAGGCCAAUCAAACCGGGAGAUAGCUGGUUCUCCCCGAAAGCUAUUUAGGUAGCGCCUCGUGAAUUCAUCUCCGGGGGUAGAGCACUGUUUCGGCUAGGGGGCCAUCCCGGCUUACCAACCCGAUGCAAACUGCGAAUACCGGAGAAUGUUAUCACGGGAGACACACGGCGGGUGCUAACGUCCGUCGUGAAGAGGGAAACAACCCAGACCGCCAGCUAAGGUCCCAAAGUCAUGGUUAAGUGGGAAACGAUGUGGGAAGGCCCAGACAGCCAGGAUGUUGGCUUAGAAGCAGCCAUCAUUUAAAGAAAGCGUAAUAGCUCACUGGUCGAGUCGGCCUGCGCGGAAGAUGUAACGGGGCUAAACCAUGCACCGAAGCUGCGGCAGCGACACUGUGUGUUGUUGGGUAGGGGAGCGUUCUGUAAGCCUG
This 657-nucleotide ribosomal RNA is filed under the name Salmonella enterica. RNAcentral describes it as "partial 23S ribosomal RNA". It matches the Rfam family "Bacterial large subunit ribosomal RNA", at positions 593 to 1251 of the family's 2925-position model. Lineage: Bacteria; Pseudomonadati; Pseudomonadota; Gammaproteobacteria; Enterobacterales; Enterobacteriaceae. RNAcentral also lists the same sequence under 92 other names. The record is from RNAcentral.